GCUGGGUGUGUAAGCGUUGUGAGGCGUUGAGCUAACCAGUACUAAUUGCACGUGAGGCUUGACCAUAUAA
Molecule: ribosomal RNA, 70 nt
Filed under: Gammaproteobacteria bacterium
Lineage: Bacteria; Pseudomonadati; Pseudomonadota; Gammaproteobacteria
Description: partial 23S ribosomal RNA
Source: RNAcentral